Molecule: ribosomal RNA, 497 nt
Filed under: uncultured bacterium
Lineage: Bacteria
Description: partial 16S ribosomal RNA
Rfam family: Bacterial small subunit ribosomal RNA
Source: RNAcentral
GAUGAACGCUGGCGGCGUGCCUAAUACAUGCAAGUCGAGCGAACAGACGAGGAGCUUGCUCCUCUGACGUUAGCGGCGGACGGGUGAGUAACACGUGGAUAACCUACCUAUAAGACUGGGAUAACUUCGGGAAACCGGAGCUAAUACCGGAUAAUAUUUUGAACCGCAUGGUUCAAUAGUGAAAGACGGUUUUGCUGUCACUUAUAGAUGGAUCCGCGCCGCAUUAGCUAGUUGGUAAGGUAACGGCUUACCAAGGCACCGAUGCGUAGCCGACCUGAGAGGGUGAUCGGCCACACUGGAACUGAGACACGGUCCAGACUCCUACGGGAGGCAGCAGUAGGGAAUCUUCCGCAGUGGGCGAAAGCCUGACGGAGCAACGCCGCGUGAGUGAUGAAGGUCUUCGGAUCGUAAAACUCUGUUAUUAGGGAAGAACAAAUGUGUAAGUAACUAUGCACGUCUUGACGGUACCUAAUCAGAAAGCCACGGCUAACUACGUG